AUGGACCAUUCCAUCCCUUAUUCCCUUGGCUAUGCAUCAGAUUCGGAUGACGAAGGUCCCGAUGAACAAGAUGAGGAGGGGUUCACGGUGAAGGAGGCCGAAGCUUUCGAGAAGGUAUUCGGUCGGGAUCAUCGGACUACAUUGUUCAAGGAUGUUAUUCUUGCGGAUGAAGCCGUGGUAGAUGGUGGCCAAGGUAUAUCUCUUGGGGUUAGGCCAAGCUCUCACCACGAUUUGAAGACGACAAGAACCGGAUUGCUAAAGGGUCUAAGUUCGAAACCUUAUUGGAAUUGA
Molecule: ribosomal RNA, 291 nt
Filed under: Triticum aestivum (bread wheat)
Lineage: Eukaryota; Viridiplantae; Streptophyta; Magnoliopsida; Poales; Poaceae
Description: partial small subunit ribosomal RNA
Source: RNAcentral